Long non-coding RNA from Nerophis ophidion (straightnose pipefish), 2664 nucleotides. RefSeq lists it as uncharacterized. Lineage: Eukaryota; Metazoa; Chordata; Actinopteri; Syngnathiformes; Syngnathidae. The record is from RefSeq and is a predicted model, not a curated record. The transcript has 3 exons.
UGCAAUGAACACUGGUGUGUGUAUCCAGCAGUCCACACACCACACGCACAACAAAGUCAAGAGCAAACACAGGACGCUAUAACGUUGAGCCAGAUGUCUGGGUUGUGUCUGAGACGAGCCAGCUGCAAACAAAACCUGCACAAGUCUGUGCAGCAUCAUAAAGGAGAUGAGAACGGAGUCUUCUAUGCGAGCACAUGUUGAUCUGCAGCAGCCUCACAGCAGGUUCCUCCCCCGUGGCCACCUGAGAAGCACGCAAGUGAAAUCAGCUUUCCUCAAUGGAACGUGCGGACCUACACAGGAUGCUCGCGGCUCACUGCCCUGAUGGAUGCACACAGCAGAGGACGAGGAGGAAAAGGGGGCGGCGCCUUUAAGUAGCAUCAACAUCAGUCAUUGGGAGCUCCAAACGUGUCUGAGGUAGAUUGUGUGCAUGUAGACAAUUAGAUGCACUCUGGAAUAUUGUGUGCAUAUGCAGAUAAACAGUUUAAUAUAAGGAAAUUCAAAGAAAUACAAAACGUGCACAUUUCUAUUGGUAUCAGCAGUUCAUAAACUGGACAUUUUGAUACUGGACUUAAGAUCAACCUUCUACCCUUACAUCACUAUUAUUUAUAAAUAACAGUUACAUUAAAAAAGGAGUAGUACUUCUAACAAUUAGUCAAAGAGCUGUUCAGAUUCUGAGGGCAUCUUUGAUAAGAUGGUCAAAGUGACACUUGUGCAGCAGAAAUCUCUGGGUAAUGGUUUGCUUCUGCGCUCCUCAAGCAGGCUGCAGAUGACAGAACAGUGAAAGCUGGGGACAAUUAAGGCAGCGUGGGAGAGACCGCUGGACCUGUUGCCAUUCAUGACCGUAGGCUCAAAACAGUUUGAAAUUAAAAGUGCUUCGUUUUAUUCACUCAUCUCAAUAGGAUGACAUUAUUUGAUUAUGGUGUUGCAGCUGCGGUCUCUUCAGCUGGGAGAUGUAAACAGUUUCGGACGCUCUUGCGGGGGGAAAACAGACAUGCAGAGUCCAACCUCAGUUUGCGACUCGACCCAGCAGCAAGUUCUGCAGCUGCCUUAUUCUGCUCUCCCGGGGAAAGGCCAGGGCCUUUUCUCCUCUCUCUUCUAACCCCUCUUCCUCCUCCAGAAGCUGCUCCAUGUACCAGGAGGAGCCCAGCAGGACGUGGCCAGUGGCCUGCAUGGAGAAGAUCGUCCAUCGCAACGCCUCCCUUCAAGCAUGAGAGAAACACAGAUUGCAUUUAUCUCACAAGUGCACAAUACAAAUGUCUGAUUAAUAACAUUUUAGUAACUACAAUAGACUAGUAUGACUCGAACACAGGUGUCAAACUUAUAGAUAUGGCCCUCCACGUCACUUUAUAUGGGCCUGUGAAAGCCUGGGAAAAUGUGUCAGUAAUUUGCAUUGUCCUACUAAAUGCAUUUGUUCUUUCCAUUUCACAGAAAAAAAUACAUGUACUAUACUGCAUGCAGUAGCAUAACUUGCCGUAUUUUUCGGACUACAAGGCGCACUCAAAAGCCUUUAAUUUUUCUCAAAAAUCGACACUGCGCCUUAUACCCCGGUGCACCUAAUGGACAGAAUAAUUCUGGUUGUGGAUACUGACCUCAAAGCUAUUUUAUUUGGUACAGUGUGACCAGUAGAUAGUAGUCACACAUAAGAGAUACGUGUAGACUGCAAGAUGACGCCAAUAAACACCACAACAACUUUAAAUGUUCCAUUCAGAAUAUAGAACAUUAUACACGGCACUCAAAAAUCUGUCAAAAUCAUUUAGUAUGACUUUGGUAAGCUAUGAACCCGCACUGCUUGGAUUGUCAACAUACGAGUAUUAUUGUGUGUGUGUGUAAGGACCGCAAAAUGAAGUUGAAGUUCCAAUAAUUGUCACACACACUAGGUGUGGGAAAAUUUUUCUCUGCAUUUGACCCAUCAACCGUUGAACACCCCCUGGAAGGUGAGGGGAGCAGUGGGCAGCAGCGGUGGCCGCGCCCGGGAAUUAUUUUUGAUGAUUUAACCCCCGAUUCCAACCUUUGAUGCUGAGUGCCAAGCAGGGGGCACCCAUUAGCAGACAUUAUCUGUCGUUUUGUUUUGCAAUAUUAUCCAAAACAAACACUUCUUACCUACUGGUACCGGCUGAUGUGUAUUUGAGAUCUGCAUAAGUCCUAAAAAUGUUCGCAUUUCUGCCAUUGUAGUCCGUAGUCAACGUAGUCAACCAGCGUCUUUUUCUUCAACUUCUUGUCACGGGACAUUCACUCGCCGCUGUUGCCAUUUCUAAUAUGAAGCAGUGUAAAGUUCUAACUUGUAUGUCGCUAUCGAAGUGCUAGAAAUUACCAGCAUAGUGGGUUUAUAUAUUUCACCAACUGAACUUUAGUUUAGAUAGGUCGGACGGUUUUGCUAGUGAGCCACGGAGGAGAUGCUGCUCCGUUAUUGAAGUAAAGUCUGAAUGUCAUUAAAAAAGUUAGCUCCAUCUUUUGACACUUCUUCCACUCCCGUCCUUGCACGCUACACCACUACAACAAAGAUGACGGCGAGAAGACGAUGUCGAAAGGUGAGCUAAGUAGGUAAGACCGCCCACAAAACUGCACAUCCUGAAGAGAUUGUCAGAAAGCUACUUGAAAAUGAUCUGUAAAACAAUCUAUGAAGCACUUUGAUCAAAGAACCACCAAUACAUGUUAUGUGGACCA